UCAUUGUCAAGAGGGAAAUAGCCCAGAUCACCAGUUAAGGCCCCUAAAUAAUUACUAAGUGGCAAAGGAUGUAAUAGUGCAUAGACAACCAGGAGGUUUGCUUAGAAGCAGCCACCCUUUAAAAAUAGCGUAAUAGCUUACUGGUCAAGUGCUUUUGCGCCGAAAAUGAACGGGACUAAGUAAUUUGCCGAAACUGUGAGAUAAAUAAAAUCGGUAGAAGAGCGUUCUGUUUGGAGGGAAGUAAUAAUGAAAACAGUUAUGGACUGGACAGAAGUGAGAAUGUCGGCUUAAGUAACGAAAACAUUGGUGGAAAUCCAAUGCCCCGAAAACCUAAGGAUUCCUUCGCAAGGUUCGUCCACGAAGGGUUAGUCAGGGCCUAAGAUGAGGUUUAAAAACGUAGUUGAUGGACAACAGGUUAAUAUUCCUGUACUGUAUUUAAUUUAUUAAGAGUGACGAAAAAGGCUAUGUCAGCCAAAUAUUGGUUUUUGGUUCAAUUUUUCAAGGUUUUGAGAAGCAUAAUAAAAAAUGCUUUGAGCUAAGAAAGAGAGUAGGAGCGAUGCUACGGUGUCAAAACUGAUUUAUGUCAUGUUUCCAAGAAAAGCUCUCAUAAUUUAUAUUUAAAUACACCUGUACCUUAAACUGACACAGGUAGGUUAGUAGAGAAUACUAAGGGGCGCGAGAUAACUCUUUCUAAGGAACUCGGCAAAAUGACUCUGUAACUUCGGGAGAAAGAGUGCCUUAUUUUGUAAGGCCACAGUAACAAGAUCCAAGCGACUGUUUACCAAAAACACAGGUCUCCGCUAAGUUGAAAAACUAUGUAUGGGGGCUGACGCCUGCCCAGUGCCGGAAGGUUAAAGAAAUUGGUUAACUUCGGUGAAGCUAGUGACUGAAGCCUUGGUGAACGGCAGCUGUAACUAUAACGGUUCUAAGGUAGCGAAAUUCCUUGUCGGGUAAGUUCCGACCCGCACGAAAGGCGUAACGAUUUGGAUACUGUCUCAGAAAGAGACUCGGUGAAAUAGAAUUGACUGUGAAGAUGCGGUCUACUUGCACUUGGACAGAAAGACCCUAUGAAGCUUUACUGUAACUUGAAAUUGGUUUUGGGCUUUCCUUGCGCAGUAUAGGUGGGAGGCUAUGAUCCUCUUUUUCGGAAGUAGGUGAGCCAUAAUAUGAGAUACCACUCUGGGAAAGUUAAAAAUCUAAUAGUAUUUUCAUCAAAGUACUUGACAGUUUCAGGCGGGCAGUUUUACUGGGGCGGUAGCCUCCUAAAAAGUAACGGAGGCGUACAAAGGUUUUCUCAGUCUGGACGGAAAUUAGUUGCAGAGUAUAAAGAUAUAAGAAAGCUUGACUGCGAGACUUACAAGUCGAGCAGAGACUAAAGUCGGUCUUAGUGAUCCGACGGUGCUGUGUGGAAAGGCCGUCGCUCAACGGAUAAAAGUUACUCUAGGGAUAACAGGCUGAUCUCCCCCAAGAGUUCACAUCGACGGGGAGGUUUGGCACCUCGAUGUCGGCUCAUCGCAACCUGGGGCGGAAGUACGUCCCAAGGGUUGGGCUGUUCGCCCAUUAAAGCGGUACGUGAGCUGGGUUCAGAACGUCGAGAGACAGUUCGGUCCAUAUCCGGUGUGAGUGUUAGAGUAUUGAAAGGAGCUUUCCUUAGUACGAGAGGACCGGGAAGGACACACCACUGAUGUACCAGUUUUUGUGCCAACGGAAAACGCUGGGUAGUCAAGUGUGGAGUGGAUAACUGCUGAAAGCAUA
RNAcentral lists this ribosomal RNA (1755 nucleotides) under Euglenaria anabaena var. minima. RNAcentral describes it as "LSU rRNA". It matches the Rfam family "Bacterial large subunit ribosomal RNA", at positions 1005 to 2781 of the family's 2925-position model. Lineage: Eukaryota; Euglenozoa; Euglenophyceae; Euglenales; Euglenaceae. The record is from RNAcentral.